CCUACGGGAGGCAGCAGUGAGGAAUAUUGGUCAAUGGACGAGAGUCUGAACCAGCCAAGUAGCGUGAAGGAUGAAUGCCCUAUGGGUUGUAAACUUCUUUUAUAUGGGAAUAAAAUGUUCCACGUGUGGGAUUUUGUAUGUACCCUAUGUAUAAGGAUCGGCUAACUCCGUGCCAGCAGCCGCGGUACUACGGAGGAUCCGAGCGUUAUCCGGAUUUAUUGGGUUUAAAGGGAGCGUAGGUGGAUUGUUAAGUCAGGUGUGAAAGUUUGCGGCUCAACCGUAGAAUUGCAGUUGAAACUGGCAGUCGUGAGUACAGUAGAGGUGGGCGGAAUUCGUGGUGUAGCGGUGAAAUGCUUAGAUAUCACGAAGAACUCCGAUUGCGAAGGCAGCUCACUGGACUGCAACUGACACUGAGGCGCGAAAGUGUGGGUAUCAAACAGGAUUAGAUACCCCUGUAGUC
RNAcentral lists this ribosomal RNA (460 nucleotides) under uncultured bacterium. Its description in RNAcentral is "partial 16S ribosomal RNA". It matches the Rfam family "Bacterial small subunit ribosomal RNA", at positions 338 to 795 of the family's 1533-position model. The record is from RNAcentral.